CGAACGAUGAUCUCCAGCUUGCUGGGGUGAUUAGUGGCGAACGGGUGAGUAACACGUGAGUAACCUGCCCUUGACUCUGGGAUAAGCCUGGGAAACUGGGUCUAAUACCGGAUAUGACCUUCCAUCGCAUGGUGGUUGGUGGAAAGCUUUUGUGGUUUUGGAUGGACUCGCGGCCUAUCAGCUUGUUGGUGGGGUAAUGGCCUACCAAGGCGACGACGGGUAGCCGGCCUGAGAGGGUGACCGGCCACACUGGGACUGAGACACGGCCCAGACUCCUACGGGAGGCAGCAGUGGGGAAUAUUGCACAAUGGGCGCAAGCCUGAUGCAGCGACGCCGCGUGAGGGAUGACGGCCUUCGGGUUGUAAACCUCUUUCAGUAGGGAAGAAGCGUAAGUGACGGUACCUGCAGAAGAAGCGCCGGCUAACUACGUGCCAGCAGCCGCGGUAAUACGUAGGGCGCAAGCGUUAUCCGGAAUUAUUGGGCGUAAAGAGCUCGUAGGCGGUUUGUCGCGUCUGCCGUGAAAGUCCGGGGCUCAACUCCGGAUCUGCGGUGGGUACGGGCAGACUAGAGUGAUGUAGGGGAGACUGGAAUUCCUGGUGUAGCGGUGAAAUGCGCAGAUAUCAGGAGGAACACCGAUGGCGAAGGCAGGUCUCUGGGCAUUAACUGACGCUGAGGAGCGAAAGCAUGGGGAGCGAACAGGAUUAGAUACCCUGGUAGUCCAUGCCGUAAACGUUGGGCACUAGGUGUGGGGGACAUUCCACGUUUUCCGCGCCGUAGCUAACGCAUUAAGUGCCCCGCCUGGGGAGUAC
RNAcentral lists this ribosomal RNA (809 nucleotides) under Pseudarthrobacter sp. Its description in RNAcentral is "bacterial SSU rRNA". It matches the Rfam family "Bacterial small subunit ribosomal RNA", at positions 63 to 883 of the family's 1533-position model. Lineage: Bacteria; Bacillati; Actinomycetota; Actinomycetes; Micrococcales; Micrococcaceae. The record is from RNAcentral.